CAUUGUUGAACCAGAGAAGAGCAGGUCAGGAGGGUUCAUCAUGAAACUAAGAGAAAGCAAGCUAGAAGAAAACGUGAUUUCUUACCCAACUCCACACAAAUUUGAGAGGUUGAAAGCCUAUGCCCUGCAAUUGGAAACUUGAGCAUCACUGCAUUUCAAGCUCCUCCUCCUCCUUGUCUGUCCCUCAUCAAUGAAGCUUGAAGAACCCCUCUGCUGAGCCCACCACUAGACACUUGUCACUGCUACUGGAAAACUUCAGAAUCUCAUUUGUCUUCAUCUUCACAUUUGCCCUUAUUCUGGGCAUAUGUGACCAUGUGACCUCCUAGAUCUUUGACCUAAUGACCCUUUUCUCUGCUUAGCUUUGGCUUCCUGUUCUCACAGUGCAGGCUAAGAAGUC
Molecule: long non-coding RNA, 397 nt
Filed under: Mus spicilegus (steppe mouse)
Lineage: Eukaryota; Metazoa; Chordata; Mammalia; Rodentia; Muridae
Description: lncRNA (ENSMSIG00000023531.1)
Source: RNAcentral